CUGAAUAGGGCGCUUAGUCAGAUGCUGCAGACCCGAAACGAAGUGAUCUAUCCAUGAGCAAGUUGAAGCUAGUGUAAGAACUAGUGGAGGACUGAACCCAUAGGCGUUGAAAAGCCCCGGGAUGACUUGUGGAUAGGGGUGAAAGGCCAAUCAAACUUCGUGAUAGCUGGUUCUCUCCGAAAUAUAUUUAGGUAUAGCGUUGUGUCGUAAUAUAAGGGGGUAGAGCACUGAAUGGGCUAGGGCAUACACCAAUGUACCAAACCCUAUCAAACUCCGAAUACCUUAUAUGUAAUCACAGCAGUCAGGCGGCGAGUGAUAAAAUCCGUCGUCAAGAGGGAAACAACCCAGACUACCAGCUAAGGUCCCUAAAUCUUACUUAAGUGGAAAACGAUGUGAAGUUACUUAAACAACCAGGAGGUUGGCUUAGAAGCAGCCAUCCUUUAAAGAAAGCGUAAUAGCUCACUGGUCUAGUGAUUUUGCGCGGAAAAUAUAACGGGGCUAAAGUAAGUACCGAAGCUGUAGACUUGCGCACAACUUAGAUUAUUUAAGUUUAGAAUAUGAGAAACUAAGUUAUAUGUUUAGUUAUAUUUUUACUGAUUUUUAUAGAGUAAAGAUAGAAAUAAAACUUAGUAAAAUCAGUAAAAAUAUUCUUAGACUAAAGUUAAGUAGUUUAAGUUGUGUGCAAGUGGUAGGAGAGCGUUCUAUUUGCGUCGAAGGUAUACCGGUAAGGAGUGCUGGAGCGAAUAGAAGUGAGCAUGCAGGCAUGAGUAGCGAUAAUUAAUGUGAGAAUCAUUAACGCCGUAAACCCAAGGUUUCCUACGCGAUGCUCGUCAUCGUAGGGUUAGUCGGGUCCUAAGUCGAGUCCGAAAGGGGUAGACGAUGGCAAAUUGGUUAAUAUUCCAAUACCAACAUUAGUGUGCGAUGGAAGGACGCUUAGGGCUAAGGGGGCUAGCGGAUGGAAGUGCUAGUCUAAGGUCGUAGGAGGUUAUACAGGCAAAUCCGUAUAACAAUACUCCGAGAACUGAAAGGCUUUUUGAAGUCUUCGGAUGGAUAGAAGAACCCCUGAUGCCGUCGAGCCAAGAAAAGUUUCUAAGUUUAGCUAAUGUUGCCCGUACCGUAAACCGACACAGGUGGGUGGGAUGAGUAUUCUAAGGCGCGUGGAAGAACUCUCUUUAAGGAACUCUGCAAAAUAGCACCGUA
RNAcentral lists this ribosomal RNA (1200 nucleotides) under Campylobacter coli. RNAcentral describes it as "partial 23S ribosomal RNA". It matches the Rfam family "Bacterial large subunit ribosomal RNA", at positions 683 to 1732 of the family's 2925-position model. The record is from RNAcentral. Lineage: Bacteria; Pseudomonadati; Campylobacterota; Epsilonproteobacteria; Campylobacterales; Campylobacteraceae.